GGUUAUGGCUCAGUGGUAGAGUGCUUGCCUAGCAUGCAUGAGGCACUGGGUUCAAUACUUAGCACCA
Molecule: transfer RNA, 67 nt
Filed under: Marmota monax (woodchuck)
Lineage: Eukaryota; Metazoa; Chordata; Mammalia; Rodentia; Sciuridae
Description: tRNA.Ala
Source: RNAcentral